UAGGGAAUCUUCGGCAAUGGACGAAAGUCUGACCGAGCAACGCCGCGUGAGUGAAGAAGGUUUUCGGAUCGUAAAACUCUGUUGUUAGAGAAGAACAAGGACGUUAGUAACUGAACGUCCCCUGACGGUAUCUAACCAGAAAGCCACGGCUAACUACGUGCCAGCAGCCGCGGUAAUACGUAGGUGGCAAGCGUUGUCCGGAUGUAUUGGGCGUAAAGCGAGCGCAGGCGGUUUCUUAAGUCUGAUGUGAAAGCCCCCGGCUCAACCGGGGAGGGUCAUUGGAGACUGGGAGACUUGAGUGCAGAAGAGGAGAGUGGAAUUCCAUGUGUAGCGGUGAAAUGCGUAGAUAUAUGGAGGAACACCAGUGGCGAAGGCGGCUCUCUGGUCUGUAACUGACGCUGAGGCUCGAAAGCGUGGGGAGCAAACAGG
RNAcentral lists this ribosomal RNA (429 nucleotides) under Gemmatimonadota bacterium. Its description in RNAcentral is "Gemmatimonadetes bacterium partial 16S ribosomal RNA". It matches the Rfam family "Bacterial small subunit ribosomal RNA", at positions 355 to 776 of the family's 1533-position model. Lineage: Bacteria; Pseudomonadati; Gemmatimonadota. The record is from RNAcentral.